CCUACGGGAGGCAGCAGUGGGGAAUCUUGCGCAAUGGGCGAAAGCCUGACGCAGCCACGCCACGUGUGGGAUUUAAGGCCUUCGGGUUGUAAACCACUUUCAGCAGGGAAGAAAAUGACGGUACCUGCAGAAGAAGCCCCGGCCAACUACGUGCCAGCAGCCGCGGUAACACGUAGGGGGCAAGCGUUGUCCGGAAUUACUGGGCGUAAAGGGCUCGUAGGCGGUUUGGUAAGUCAUAUGUGAAAACUCCGGGCUCAACCCGGAGAUGCCAUAUGAAACUGCCAUGACUAGAGUUUGGUAGAGGAGUGUAGAAUUCCCGGUGUAGCGGUGGAAUGCGCAGAUAUCGGGAGGAAUACCAGUCAGCGAAGGCGGCACUCUGGGCCACAACUGACGCUAAGGAGCGAAAGCGUGGGUAGCAAACAGGAUUAGAUACCCUGGUAGUCCACGCCGUAAACGGUGGGCACUAGGUGUGGGAUCCUUGGUCAACAAGGGUUCCGUACACGCAGCUAACGCGUUAAGUGCCCCGCCUGGGGAGUACGGCCGCAAGGCUAAAACUCAAAUGAAUUGACGG
Molecule: ribosomal RNA, 571 nt
Filed under: uncultured bacterium
Lineage: Bacteria
Description: bacterial SSU rRNA
Rfam family: Bacterial small subunit ribosomal RNA
Source: RNAcentral